UACUAGUGGUCCGGUAAAACUCCUGGCCCUACUCCAGUGGUCCGGUAAAACUCCUGGCCCUAUUCUAGUGAUGAUCAUAAUGUAAUUCAGUGACUGACGUGACUGUAGCUCCCGGAGAGCCGGUGAACAGCAACGUUGAGCCGUUAUCUAACGUGGAUUUAAUGUUCAUGCUCCUCAGAACGGGCGGUCACACUGGGAAAAGCCUUUUCAUUGGUUCAUUUGCAACCUUGCACAGCUUACAACCAAUGAAACGGCUUCCUUUCUGACGAAGUGUCUUGUUGUUGUUGCGGUGAGCAGUGUGAACAGACUCUGAAACUGUCGUUCCCAUUGGGGGAUGUUGCAGGAACUGGUUAGGGACGAGUCGUGUCCCGCUGACAGAGAGGCAGUGUGAGCUGCCGGGGUUGUGUGAGUACCUGGACAGACAGGAUGAGGCCUACCACACCUUCAGAGAUGCACUGUGGGAGUUCCUACACAGGACCAGGACCACAGGCAGGUGUUUUACAGCAGGGCCCUGGUCCGCCUCAGUGGCAACGUUCAGCAUUUAUAAAGUUGUUAAAGUUUAUGUGGGAACACACUGGUACGCCACUUACUACAAAACCCUGUUAAAGGUACGGUGACACUCCUGUUCCCUCCUUCACAGUCUCUGGAAUCAGCUCAAACUACAGACAAGAGGGGUUAUAUUUGAACUUGAUUUAUUAUUUUACUAGGCAAGUCAGUUAAGAACAAAUGUUUAUUUACAAUGAUGGCCUACUGGGGAACAGUGGGUUAACUGAGGUGCAGUAAGUAGGACAGUAGUAGCAGACCUACAGUAUAGGGGGAGGUGCAGUAAGUAGAACAGUAGUAGCAGACAUACAGUAUAGGGGGAGGUGCAGUAAGUAGAACAGUAGUAGCAGACAUACAGUAUAGGGGGAGGUGCAGUAAGUAGGACAGUAGCAGACAUACAGUAUAGGAGGAGGUGCAGUAAGUAGGACAGUAGCAGACAUACAGUAUAGGGGGAGGUGCAGUAAGUAGGACAGUAGUAGCAGACAUACAGUAUAGGGGGAGGUGCAGUAAGUACAGUAUAGGGGGAGGUGCAGUAAUUAGGACAGUAGAAGCAGACCUACAGUAUAGGAGGAGGUGCAAUAAGUAGGACAGUAGUAACAGACCUACAGUAUAGAGGGAGGUGCAGGAAGUAGGACAGUAGCAGACAUACAGUAUAGGGGGAGGUGCAGUAAGUACAGUAUAGGGGGAGGUGCAGUAAUUAGGACAGUAGAAGCAGACCUACAGUAUAGGAGGAGGUGCAGUAAGUAGGACAGUAGUAACAGACCUACAGUAUAGAGGGAGGUGCAGUAAGUAGGACAGUAGCAGACAUACAGUAUAGGGGGAGGUGCAGUAAGUAGGACAGUAGUAGCAGACCUACAGUAUAGGGGGAGGUGC
This is an RNA transcript of Oncorhynchus keta (chum salmon), 1416 nucleotides long. It is a transcript of the gene named BTB/POZ domain-containing protein KCTD19-like, with no coding region annotated. The record is from RefSeq and is a predicted model, not a curated record. The transcript has 5 exons. NCBI's taxonomy places the organism in Eukaryota, Metazoa, Chordata, Actinopteri, Salmoniformes, Salmonidae.